GAUGAAGAACGCAGCGAAAUGCGAUAAGUAAUGUGAAUUGCAGAAUUCAGUGAAUCAUCGAAUCUUUGAACGCACAUUGCGCCCGUCAGUAUUCUGGCGGGCAUGCCUGUUCGAGCGUCAUUACGCCCCUCAAGUCCCCUGUGGACUUGGUGUUGGGGAUCGGCGAGGCUGGUUUUCCAGCACAGCCGUCCCUUAAAUUAAUUGGCGGUCUCGCCGUGGCCCUCCUCUGCGCAGUAGUAAAACACUCGCAACAGGAGCCCGGCGCGGUCCACUGCCGUAAAACCCCCCAACUUUUUAUAGUUGACCUCAAAUCAGGUAGGACUACCCGCUGAACUUAAGCAUAUCAAUAAGCGGAGGA
RNAcentral lists this unclassified non-coding RNA (358 nucleotides) under soil metagenome. Its description in RNAcentral is "partial contains 5.8S ribosomal RNA, internal transcribed spacer 2, and large subunit ribosomal RNA". The stretch from base 1 to 120 matches the Rfam family "5.8S ribosomal RNA", at positions 35 to 154 of the family's 154-position model. The record is from RNAcentral.